RNAcentral lists this ribosomal RNA (253 nucleotides) under uncultured bacterium. RNAcentral describes it as "partial 16S ribosomal RNA". It matches the Rfam family "Bacterial small subunit ribosomal RNA", at positions 524 to 776 of the family's 1533-position model. The record is from RNAcentral.
UACGUAGGUGACAAGCGUUGUCCGGAUUUACUGGGCGUAAAGAGCGCGCAGGCGGUCGUUCAAGUCGAGUGUGAAAGCCCCCGGCUCAACUGGGGAGGGUCACUCGAUACUGAUCGACUCGAAGGCAGGAGAGGGAAGUGGAAUUCCCGGUGUAGUGGUGAAAUGCGUAGAUAUCGGGAGGAACACCGGUGGCGAAGGCGGGUCUCUGGGCCGACAUUGACGCUGAGGAGCGAAAGCGUGGGGAGCGAACAGG